AGGGUUUGAUCAUGGCUCAGAACGUACGCUGGCGGCACGCCUUAUACAUGCAAGUCGAACGAAGUAGCAAUACUUAGUGGCAGACGGGUGAGUAACAUGUAGGUAUCUUCCCUUUGGUGAGGAAUAACACGAGGAAACUUGUGCUAAUACCUCAUAAGUCUUAACGGAGAAAGCUUUAUGCGCCGAAGGAUGAGCCUGCACUUGAUUAGUUUGUUGGUGGGGUAAUGGCCUACCAAGACCUUGAUCAAUAGCUGAUCUGAGAGGAUGAUCAGCCACAUUGGGACUGAGACACGGCCCAGACUCCUACGGGAGGAAGCAGUAGGGAAUAUUGCACAAUGGAGGAAACUCUGAUGCAGCGAUGCCGCGUGAGUGAAGAAGGCCUUUGGGUUGUAAAGCUCUUUCGUCGGGGAAGAAAAUGACUGUACCCGAAUAAGAAGGUCCGGCUAACUUCGUGCCAGCAGCCGCGGUAAUACGAAGGGACCUAGCGUAGUUCGGAAUUACUGGGCUUAAAGAGUUCGUAGGUUGUUAAAAAAGUUGGUGGUGAAAUCCCAGAGCUUAACUCUGGAACUGCCAUCAAAACUUUUUAGCUAGAGUAUGAUAGAGGAAAGCAGAAUUUCUAGUGUAGAGGUGAAAUUCGUAGAUAUUAGAAAGAAUACCAAUUGCGAAGGCAGCUUUCUGGGUCAUUACUGACACUGAGGAACGAAAGCAUGGGUAGCGAAGAGGAUUAGAUACCCUCGUAGUCCAUGCCGUAAACGAUGUGUGUUAGACGUUGGAAAUUUAUUUUCAGUGUCGCAGCGAAAGCAUUAAACACACCGCCUGGGGAGUACGACCGCAAGGUUAAAACUCAAUGAAUUGACGGGGACCCGCACAAGUAGUGGAGCAUGUGGUUUAAUUCGAAGAUACGCGCAGAACCUUACCAACACUUGACAUGUUCGUCGCGACUUUAAGAGAUUAAAGUUUUCGGUUCGGCCGGACGAAACACAGGUGCUGCAUGGCUGUCGUCAGCUCGUGUCGUGAGAUGUUGGGUUAAGUCCCGCAACGAGCGCAACCCUCACUUUUAGUUGCCAUCAUUUAGUUGGGCACUUUAAAAGAACUGCCAGUGAUAAGCUGGAGGAAGGUGGGGAUGACGUCAAGUCCUCAUGGCCCUUACGUGUUGGGCUACACACGUGCUACAAUGGCAUUUACAAUAGGAAGCGAGAUGGCGACGUUGAGCAAAUCCUAAAAAAAUGCCUCAGUUCGGAUUGUACUCUGCAACUCGAGUACAUGAAGCUGGAAUUACUAGUAAUCGCGGAUCAGCGCGCCGCGGUGAAUACGUUCCCGGGUCUUGUACACACCGCCCGUCACACCAUGGGAGUUGGUUCUACCUUAAGGCAAGGUUUAAAACCCUUGACCACGGUAUAGUCAGCGACUGGGGUGAAGUCGUAACAAGGUAGCCGUA
Molecule: ribosomal RNA, 1438 nt
Filed under: uncultured bacterium
Lineage: Bacteria
Description: bacterial SSU rRNA
Rfam family: Bacterial small subunit ribosomal RNA
Source: RNAcentral